GCCGGGUGUGGUGGCACACUCCUGUAAUCACAGAAGCUCGGGAGGCUGAGAUGGGAGGAUCACGAGUUCAAAGCCAGCCUCAGCAAGGGCAAGGCACUAAGCAACUCAGUGAGACCCUGUCUCUA
RNAcentral lists this small RNA (125 nucleotides) under Marmota monax (woodchuck). Lineage: Eukaryota; Metazoa; Chordata; Mammalia; Rodentia; Sciuridae. The record is from RNAcentral.